Molecule: long non-coding RNA, 884 nt
Filed under: Phoenix dactylifera (date palm)
Lineage: Eukaryota; Viridiplantae; Streptophyta; Magnoliopsida; Arecales; Arecaceae
Description: long non-coding RNA (PDAC_LNC004157)
Source: RNAcentral
AAAAGCCAAAAAGAAACCCUCAAAAGUUUCCAAAGCCUUAAAGAAACUAAAGGAGUACUAAUAAACUAAAGUAAUGGUUCCUUACCUCCUCUAAAAAUAUUUGGCAUGCAUGUUGAUCUUGUAAUUUUGUUAUUUUCUAUUUAUCUCCCUGUAUUUUAGCAGCCGAACAGACACAACCACAGAAGAAAGAGGCAUUAUUGUAGUUCAUUCUUCCCACAAAAGCUUAUCAAGAUAGAAGCACCAACGCAAGUCUAGUGGCCAUCCUGGUCGGAUCGAAAGGCAGAAAGCCGAUAGGGAUGGAUGCCCCCUCAAAUAUGCCGCUGCGCUCAUUCGAAUGCCGUUUUCUUUUUUAAAGGAUGCCGUCCUCCGUCCUUUCAAGUGCAAAUCCUCUACAAUUUCAGUUGCAGAAAAUCCUUAAAUACUACAACCUGUCGCAAACUUUUAUUGAAUGCGCAAUUCUAGGCCUCAUUCCAUUCGCUUAAGAUCGUAUCGUUUCAACGGAAAACCACCUUCUGCAAUCUCCACAUUUUUAAGUGGAGAUCUUGAUAGACAAAUUAAAACGUUAAGGAACAUCUUGCAGCUUGGUUGUAGAGGAUCGAUUGCCAGUCCGUUCUAUCAUGCAGGAAUCUCCAUCCUCUGCAUAAAAGAUAUAGACGAAUAAGAUGCUACACCUUUUCCCGUUAUGUCGACACAAAGUCACCAAGGAAAUAUUCCAAAACCAACAUUAUAAGAAGGGACCCCCAUCCCCAGUUAGCUAGUCAGCCAGCUUCCGGGUAGUACUCACCAGUUCCACCAAUGGCCGCCCCCCAGCCUUCACAGCCACGAUCUCUCUGCACCGACUUCGAGGUCUUGAGCUACAUCAACAGCCUGAUGGAGGUCUUCAA